GUGAAUCAUCGAAUCUUUGAACGCAUAUUGCACUCUCUGGCAUUCCGGAGGGGAUGCCGGUUGGAGGAUCAGUAUAAUCUAAAGCGGAGCGAUGCUUUUUUGGUGGCGCACCGGAGUUUGGGUCAUCUUAACGCGUUUUUUUAGGGGGCCUAAAAUUAGCAUUCUUUUUUGCGCAAUGUUAGUACGUACAUGAUUUUGUUUUGUUCGUCUAGCCUAUGU
This 219-nucleotide unclassified non-coding RNA is filed under the name Glomeromycetes sp. Its description in RNAcentral is "partial internal transcribed spacer 2". The stretch from base 1 to 71 matches the Rfam family "5.8S ribosomal RNA", at positions 84 to 154 of the family's 154-position model. The record is from RNAcentral. Lineage: Eukaryota; Fungi; Glomeromycota; Glomeromycetes.